UGCCUUAGUAACGGCGAGUGAAGCGGCAAUAGCUCAAAUUUGAAAGCUGGCGUCUUCGACGUCCGCGUUGUAAUUUGUAGAGGAUGCUUCGGCGAGGACUCCUGCCUAAGUCCCCUGGAACGGGGCGUCACAGAGGGUGAGAAUCCCGUAUGUGGCGGGCGGUCCAAGCCAUGUGAAGCUCCUUCGACGAGUCGAGUUGUUUGGGAAUGCAGCUCUAAAUGGGAGGUAAAUUUCUUCUAAAGCUAAAUAUUGGCCAGAGACCGAUAGCGCACAAGUAGAGUGAUCGAAAGAUGAAAAGCACUUUGGAAAGAGAGUUAAAAAGUACGUGAAAUUGUUGAAAGGGAAGCGCUUGCAACCAGACUCGCUCGCAGUUGCUCAGCCGGCCUCUUGGCCGGUGUACUCUUCUGCGAUCGGGCCAGCAUCAGUUCGGGCGGCCGGAUAAAGGUGUCGGGAAUGUAGCACCCUUCGGGGUGUGUUAUAGCCCGGCGCGGAAUGCGGCCAGCCUGGACUGAGGAUCUCGCUUCGGCAAGGAUGCUGGCGUAAUGGUUGUAAGCGGCCCGUCUUGAAACACGGACCAAGGAGUCUAACAUCUAUGCGAGUGUUUGGGUGUCAAACCCAUGCGCGUAAUGAAAGUGAACGGAGGUGGGAACCCCUCACGGGGUGCACCAUCGACCGAUCCUGAUGUCUUCGGAUGGAUUUGAGUAAGAGCAUAGCUGUUGGGACCCGAAAGAUGGUGAACUAUGCCUGAAUAGGGUGAAGCCAGAGGAAACUCUGGUGGAGGCUCGCAGCGGUUCUGACGUGCAAAUCGAUCGUCAAAUUUGGGUAUAGGGCGAA
Molecule: ribosomal RNA, 834 nt
Filed under: Phyllosticta telopeae
Lineage: Eukaryota; Fungi; Ascomycota; Dothideomycetes; Botryosphaeriales; Phyllostictaceae
Description: LSU rRNA
Rfam family: Eukaryotic large subunit ribosomal RNA
Source: RNAcentral